RNAcentral lists this ribosomal RNA (496 nucleotides) under uncultured bacterium. RNAcentral describes it as "partial 16S ribosomal RNA". It matches the Rfam family "Bacterial small subunit ribosomal RNA", at positions 28 to 507 of the family's 1533-position model. The record is from RNAcentral.
GAUGAACGCUGGCGGCGUGCCUAAUACAUGCAAGUCGAGCGAACAGACGAGGAGCUUGCUCCUCUGACGUUAGCGGCGGACGGGUGAGUAACACGUGGAUAACCUACCUAUAAGACUGGGAUAACUUCGGGAAACCGGAGCUAAUACCGGAUAAUAUAUUGAACCGCAUGGUUCAAUAGUGAAAGACGGUUUUGCUGUCACUUAUAGAUGGAUCCGCGCCGCAUUAGCUAGUUGGUAAGGUAACGGCUUACCAAGGCAACGAUGCGUAGCCGACCUGAGAGGGUGAUCGGCCACACUGGAACUGAGACACGGUCCAGACUCCUACGGGAGGCAGCAGUAGGGAAUCUUCCGCAAGGGGCGAAAGCUUGACGGAGCAACGCCGCGUGAGUGAUGAAGGUCUUCGGAUCGUAAAACUCUGUUAUUAGGAAGAACAAAUGUGUAAGUAACUAUGCACGUCUUGACGGUACCUAAUCAGAAAGCCACGGCUAACUACGUG